RNAcentral lists this ribosomal RNA (370 nucleotides) under uncultured organism. Its description in RNAcentral is "partial 16S ribosomal RNA". It matches the Rfam family "Bacterial small subunit ribosomal RNA", at positions 527 to 896 of the family's 1533-position model. The record is from RNAcentral.
GAACCGUACGAACGUUAUUCGGAAUUACUGGGCUUAAAGGGUGCGUAGGCUGCACGGAAAGUUGGGUGUGAAAGCCCUCAGCUCAACUGAGGAAUUGCAUCCAAAACUGCCGUGCUUGAGGGAGACAGAGGUGAGCGGAACUCAAGGUGGAGCGGUGAAAUGCGUUGAUAUCUUGAGGAACACCGGUGGCGAAAGCGGCUCACUGGGUCUCUUCUGACGCUGAGGCACGAAAGCUAAGGUAGCAAACGGGAUUAGAUACCCCGGAAGUCUUAGCUGUAAACGAUGAGCACUUGAUUGGAGGGUCCUCCAUAGCCUUCCAGUCGUAGCGAAAGUGUUAAGUGCUCCGCCUGGGAGUAUGGUCGCAAGGCUG